This 465-nucleotide ribosomal RNA is filed under the name Vreelandella stevensii. Its description in RNAcentral is "partial 16S ribosomal RNA". It matches the Rfam family "Bacterial small subunit ribosomal RNA", at positions 338 to 795 of the family's 1533-position model. The record is from RNAcentral. Lineage: Bacteria; Pseudomonadati; Pseudomonadota; Gammaproteobacteria; Oceanospirillales; Halomonadaceae.
CCUACGGGGGGCUACAGUGGGGAAUAUUGGACAAUGGGGGGAACCCUGAUCCAGCCAUGCCGCGUGUGUGAAGAAGGCCCUCGGGUUGUAAAGCACUUUCAGUGAGGAAGAACGCCUGGUGGUUAAUACCCAUCAGGAAAGACAUCACUCACAGAAGAAGCACCGGCUAACUCCGUGCCAGCAGCCGCGGUAAUACGGAGGGUGCGAGCGUUAAUCGGAAUUACUGGGCGUAAAGCGCGCGUAGGUGGCUUGAUAAGCCGGUUGUGAAAGCCCCGGGCUCAACCUGGGAACGGCAUCCGGAACUGUCAAGCUAGAGUGCAGGAGAGGAAGGUAGAAUUCCCGGUGUAGCGGUGAAAUGCGUAGAGAUCGGGAGGAAUACCAGUGGCGAAGGCGGCCUUCUGGACUGACACUGACACUGAGGUGCGAAAGCGUGGGUAGCAAACAGGAUUAGAUACCCUUGUAGUC